UCUCAUUCCUUGACCUGCCUUUCUCACAUACAUUUUAGUGCCAUCAUGAAGUAAUCGAGUGCCAAGAUGUACGAUUUAAAUUUGCAGUCUGCCAUCGCUCCUUGUGGUCUCAGACGUGGCUCUCAGUCUCCAGCACUCCUCUACACCUAAAAAAGCGGCGUAUGAUAGCUAUCCUCUAAAGGAACAAGUGACGUAGUCAUGACAGCGCAGCUCUACUGAGCUGCGAGCUUUCAAAAAAAAGCUGUAUAAAUAAUUUUAUACGUCUUGGUUGCGAUGAACAAAAAAAAGAGUGCGACUCACGUCUGCGCGAAAUGAUGUUGUACCGGAUAUGGGGUUCAUUGUCAAGGCACGAAGGCGCGGCUAGAUCGAGUUAAGCAAGGCACUCAAGCCAAGGCUAGACACGCGCAGGCGUCGUUCUGAGGUGACACACAAACAGCGGGCAGAUGCGAAAUUCGAUAAGAGGAGCCCACAAAAUACUUUUCUGUUUCAUGGAUGUGUUUAUUAUUCCAAAAAAUCCCUCUUGCAUACUUAACGCGCGGUCCCCUUUUUGUUUUUUGUAGUCGCCCUACCUAAACCAGACAGUAGUGAUGGCGAAAAAAGG
Molecule: long non-coding RNA, 601 nt
Organism: Schistocerca gregaria
Lineage: Eukaryota; Metazoa; Arthropoda; Insecta; Orthoptera; Acrididae
Exons: 3
Source: RefSeq, a predicted model, not a curated record